CCUACGGGUGGCAGCAGUCGAGAAUCAUUCACAAUGGGGGAAACCCUGAUGGUGCGACGCCGCGUGGGGGAAUGAAGGUCUUCGGAUUGUAAACCCCUGUCAUGUGGGAGCAAAUUAAAAAGAUAGUACCACAAGAGGAAGAGACGGCUAACUCUGUGCCAGCAGCCGCGGGAAUACAGAGGUCUCAAGCGUUGUUCGGAAUCACUGGGCCUAAAGCGUGCGUAGGCUGUUUCGUAAGUCGUGUGUGAAAGGCGCGGGCUCAACCCGCGGACGGCACAUGAUACUGCGAGACUAGAGUAAUGGAGGGGGAACCGGAAUUCGCGGUGUAGCAGUGAAAUGCGUAGAUAUCGAGAGGAACACUCGUGGCGAAGGCGGGUUCCUGGACAUUAACUGACGCUGAGGCACGAAGGCCAGGGGAGCGAAAGGGAUUAGAUACCCUAGUAGUC
Molecule: ribosomal RNA, 446 nt
Filed under: uncultured bacterium
Lineage: Bacteria
Description: partial 16S ribosomal RNA
Rfam family: Bacterial small subunit ribosomal RNA
Source: RNAcentral